RNAcentral lists this ribosomal RNA (433 nucleotides) under uncultured bacterium. Its description in RNAcentral is "partial 16S ribosomal RNA". It matches the Rfam family "Bacterial small subunit ribosomal RNA", at positions 29 to 507 of the family's 1533-position model. The record is from RNAcentral.
AACGAACGCUGGCGGCAUGCCUAACACAUGCAAGUCGAACGAACCCUUCGGGGUUAGUGGCGCACGGGUGCGUAACGCGUGGGAAUCUGCCCUUUGCUUCGGAAUCACUCAGGGAAACUUGUGCUAAUACCGGAUGAUGUCUUCGGACCAAAGAUUUAUCGGCAAGGGAUGAGCCCGCGUAGGAUUAGGUAGCUGGUGGGGUAAAGGCCUACCAAGCCGACGAUCCUUAGCUGGUCUGAGAGGAUGAUCAGCCACACUGGGACUGAGACACGGCCCAGACUCCUACGGGAGGCAGCAGUGGGGAAUAUUGGACAAUGGGCGCAAGCCUGAUCCAGCAAUGCCGCGUGAGUGAUGAAGGCCCUCGGGUCGUAAAGCUCUUUUACCAGGGAUGAUAAUGACAGUACCUGGAGAAUAAGCUCCGGCUAACUCCGUG